Long non-coding RNA from Apis cerana (Asiatic honeybee), 1240 nucleotides. RefSeq lists it as uncharacterized. NCBI's taxonomy places the organism in Eukaryota, Metazoa, Arthropoda, Insecta, Hymenoptera, Apidae. The record is from RefSeq and is a predicted model, not a curated record.
UCUAUUCUCAUUAAUUUUAUAGUAGUAGAAACUUCGAUACCCAUCAUAACGAUUUUUACAUAUUGAUCUUUAUUAACCAUCUUCGUUCUCGCAUUUAAUUAUAAUAUUUAAAAAAAAGAAAAAAAUCACCGUUUAUGAUAAUUUCGUUUCCAUUAGUCAUUAAAAAUGUUUAAGAAAAUUUAAAAUAUUAAAAAUAAGUGUUUAUGUAAAUUAUCGUGAAAAGAAACUUGCAUUAAAGUAUACGUAAUUAAAUAUAAUCGAGUGAUAAAAAUAAGUUUGUUAAAUGCGCGAUUAAAAAGUAAUUAUUCGCAGCCGAUUGAACACGUUUGAAGAAUAAUAAAUGGCGUCGAACUGCGUCGAUUCGUCACUUUCACGUGAUUAAUUGUGCAACAGAAGCCAGUGUUACUUUUCAUUCAAGGUAACGUGACAGUUUCGUUAGGUUCAAUGUAAUUACCUAAUUCGCUCGGCUCUCCUCGCUGAAUUUUUCUAUCUACUGGAGAUAUAGAAGGCCGCUUGCUUCAUUGAAUUUAUAAUGGAACUCGUCACGGUUGAGUUACUGCAACUUCUUGAUGAAAAAAAGAUGUUACUUUUCGUGAAAUAAUUUUUAUCCAAUUUAAAUUCAAAAGAGAAAAAUUAAUUAUAUCGUUGUACGCGUUAUAAUAGUACUCGACUCGAUGCUGAUACUUGAAAUUUAUUAAAAAAGAAAGAGAGAAAGAAAGGAGGAAAAAAGUUAGGUUAUGUUUCACGCGCGUAUCGCAAAGGAAAGAAACUUGAUCUAACUCGUGGAGAAAAUCAAAAGCUCGUCAAUCUGACGAAACGUAAGAGAUCGUUGCAGCGCGCGCAAUUAUCGAACUAUACACCUUUCGCCGAAUCGGAGAACGUGUGGUUGAACGUAUAGAAAGUGAAUCGGAAUUGCGAGAAGAUACGAUCUCCUCUUCUCUUACGAAACCUCGGAAAGAUUUAUUCCAGAAGAGAGGAACCAUGUUGGGAGGAAACGGCGAAUAUUUAUUUAUUACGCUUUUGAGUAAUUCUCUGAAAGGAUCCGAAAGAUUCGCUGUCGACGAGUGACUAUCUUUUUUGGAAUGUCGUUUCGAACAAAGAAACGAAGAGCUUUAAAACGAAACUACUCUUUUCAACGUCUUAAAUUUUACAUCGAAUCGUUACUUCGGUAUUCGUCGAAUUAUCGAAUAUUUAAAUGUAAUUAAUGACUCGGAGUAUUAAUAAAUAUAAUCGAUAGCCA